RNAcentral lists this long non-coding RNA (265 nucleotides) under Homo sapiens (human). Its description in RNAcentral is "HSALNT0214547". Lineage: Eukaryota; Metazoa; Chordata; Mammalia; Primates; Hominidae. The record is from RNAcentral.
AAAUAGUGUAUCUUGUGCCUUUAAUAUUGAGGUUGAGGUGCAGGCAAAAGGUGUCCAGAAAUUGUGAGACGUGACUGCAUGGACAUCCUCGGUCUAAAACGCCUGGCACCAUGUGGGAGCCUGGCUCCGCUGCCUCUCAACGCACUGGCUUGCUUUUUGCUUUUGAGUAGCUUGAAUAUCAAACCAAGCACAAAGGGAAUCAUACCCAGGAGUUGCUGGAAAAAGCUCAUUUCAUCCACCUCAUUCCCCCAUUCUCUCUGGCAGA